AAAUUUUAUAAGACUAGAUACUCAAUUUAGCGACUUGAUGGUCGAUUGAAGUUUUGGGUUUAGUUUAACGACUUUUCGGUCAUUUGAAUUUGGGUUUAGUUUAACGACUUUGCGGUCGUUUGAAUUUGGGUUUAGUUUAGCGACGUUUCGAUCGUUUGAAUUUGGGUUUAGUUUAGCGACGUUUCGGUCGUUUGAAUUUGGGUUUAGUUUAGCGACAUUUCAGUCGUUGGUUUUAGUUUAACGACGUUUCGGUCGUUGGGUUUAGUUUAACGACAUUUCGGUCGUUAAGUUUAGUUUAUCGACGUUUCGGUCAUUGGGUUUAGUUUAACGACGUUUCGGUCGUUGGGUUUAGUUUAACGACGUUUCGGUCGUUGGGUUUAGUUUAACGACGUUUCGGUCGUUUGGUUUAGUUUAACGACGUUUCGGUCGUUGGAUUUAGUUUAACGACGUUUCGGUCGUUUGGUUUAGUUUAACGACGUUUCGGUCGUUUGAGUUUGGGUUUAGUUUAGUGACGUUUCGGUCGUUUGGUUUAGUUUAACGACAUUUCGGUCAUUUGAAUUUGGGGUUUAGUUUAACGACGUUUCGGUCGUUUGGAUUUGUGUUUAGUUUAGCGACGUUUCGGUCGUUGGGUUUAGUUUAACGACGUUUCGGUCGUUGGGUUUAGUUUAAUGACGUUUCGGUCGUUUGGUUUAGUUUAACGAUGUUUCGGUCGUUUGGUUUAGUUUAACGACGUUUCGGUCGUUGGGUUUAGUUUAAUGAUGUUUCGGUCGUUAGGUUUAGUUUAACAACGUUUCGGUCGUUUGAGUUUGGGUUUAGUUUAGUGACGUUUCGGUCGUUGGGUUUAGUUUAACGACGUUUUGGUCAUUUGAAUUUGGAUUUAGUUUAACGACGUUUCGGUCGUUUGGAUUUGGGUUUAAUUUAGCGACAUUUCGGUCGUUUAGAUUUGAGAGGCUUUGGAUUUCGGGGUUUUAUUUGUGGACUUUAGGUUUUUGGGAUUUUAUUUGUGGACUUUGGGUUUCGAGAUUUUAUUUGUAGAUUUUGGGUUUUGGAAUUUAUUUGUGGACUUUGGUUUUGGGAUUUAUUUGUGGACUUUGGUUUUGGGUUGGCUUAAAC
Molecule: long non-coding RNA, 1113 nt
Filed under: Ananas comosus (pineapple)
Lineage: Eukaryota; Viridiplantae; Streptophyta; Magnoliopsida; Poales; Bromeliaceae
Description: long non-coding RNA (ACOM_LNC013923)
Source: RNAcentral